RNAcentral lists this ribosomal RNA (231 nucleotides) under Triticum aestivum (bread wheat). RNAcentral describes it as "partial small subunit ribosomal RNA". Lineage: Eukaryota; Viridiplantae; Streptophyta; Magnoliopsida; Poales; Poaceae. The record is from RNAcentral.
AUUCUCCUCUGUUGCUAUAGCAGUUUGUCAUUUGUUUCAUGCUUUCUCAGUCUAGUUCUCGGUUCAUUCAAGUAAUUCAUGGCGGUAAUAUGCUCGACACUAGCUUCAUGUUCUUUCGGUCUCUCAUUAAUAUGUAUUCAAUCACUAAAUGCAUCAUGCAUCAAUGAACUCCAUUUGUCAGAAUUGAAAAGCUUAAAAAAACAAAACACUUUAUUUGAGCAUUUUGAAUAA